This 256-nucleotide long non-coding RNA is filed under the name Lathyrus oleraceus (garden pea). RNAcentral's name for it is "Pisum sativum (pea) long non-coding RNA (PSAT_LNC020711)". Lineage: Eukaryota; Viridiplantae; Streptophyta; Magnoliopsida; Fabales; Fabaceae. The record is from RNAcentral.
CUCGACCCUUGUUUUGGGACUUGCGAUUUAGAGACCCUAGAGUUCAUCUGGAAUUUUUGACUUUGGACUUUCUUUUCGAUACCUGGUUGAGCAACUUUGGUUUCAUCUGAUACAUGGAUUACUAUUGGCUUGUUCUGGCUUGAUUGAGGCUUAAUCCAAAGGAUGUAAUUCUUGCUUGACUUAAUUUAUAAAGCUUGCUAUCUCUUGGUUAGACCUCUCCUCUCUAGAUUUUACGUUAUGCUCUAGGAUAGUCUCU